RNAcentral lists this ribosomal RNA (301 nucleotides) under uncultured bacterium. Its description in RNAcentral is "partial 16S ribosomal RNA". It matches the Rfam family "Bacterial small subunit ribosomal RNA", at positions 509 to 809 of the family's 1533-position model. The record is from RNAcentral.
CAGCAGCCGCGGUAAUACAGAGGGUGCGAGCGUUAAUCGGAUUUACUGGGCGUAAAGAGUGCGUAGGCGGCUUCUUAAGUCGGAUGUGAAAUCCCUGAGCUUAACUUAGGAAUUGCAUUCGAUACUGGGAAGCUAGAGUAUGGGAGAGGAUGGUAGAAUUCCAGGUGUAGCGGUGAAAUGCGUAGAGAUCUGGAGGAAUACCGAUGGCGAAGGCAGCCAUCUGGCCUAAUACUGACGCUGAGGUACGAAAGCAUGGGGAGCAAACAGGAUUAGAUACCCCGGUAGUCCCUGUCUCUUAUAU